Molecule: long non-coding RNA, 3519 nt
Filed under: Brassica napus (rape)
Lineage: Eukaryota; Viridiplantae; Streptophyta; Magnoliopsida; Brassicales; Brassicaceae
Description: long non-coding RNA (BNAP_LNC002768)
Source: RNAcentral
CUGCGGUUGGUCUCUCGUUUCUUCAGUUCACAAACAUGAACAGCAUGAGAAACUUAACGAUCACUGGUCUUUCGCUCUUUCUUGGAAUCUCGAUACCUCAGUUCUUUGUUCAUUACUGGGACGCUAGACAUUACGGGCUAGUUCAUACAGACGCGGGAUGGUUCAACGCCUUCUUGAACACGGUGUUCAUGUCUCCAGCUACUGUUGGUCUGAUCAUUGCGGUUUUUAUGGAUAAUACAGUUGAAGUGGAGAUGUCGAAGAAAGACAGAGGGAUGCCUUGGUGGGUCAAGUUUAGGAACUUUCGAGGAGAUAACCGUAAUGAAGAGUUCUACAAUUUGCCCUUUAACCUCAACAGAUUCUUCCCUCCUACUUAGUAUAAAUUAUAUUGACAUGCUUUCAUGAGGAAACAGAGGCUGCUGCUUUUUAGAUUCUGAUUAUUAUUCUUUUCUUUGGGUGGUGGUUUUUUAAAUUGAUGACCUCCAUUAUUGAAGUAGUUUGUUUGCUUUAGGAUUCAGCCUCUUCUUUCUGUAGAUUUUAAUAAGAUGAUUAGAAUUAUUUCUUUUUUGGGUUUUGGGUGAAUGGAAUCAAUUCUUGCACAAGCUUUUUCAGUUUACUUUAUUAUUUGAGGUCAAUCAAUAUGCUCGAAUAGAUUUUACUUUAUCCAUUAUAUCUAACUUUACAAUCGAAUUGAGUUCUUGUCCAAACUUAUCAUCAAUUUAAUUGUAACAGAUUCACUUUUAUGUCAUUUUUGUGAAUAGAGAACUUCUUUCACUGGUAUAAUAUGGAGUAUACAUUUCCAAUUCUGAUAAUCAAAGUACAAAUCAAAUUAAGUUUUCUUUAAAAAAAACCUUCUAAAAUACAUUUUUAUUGAUGGAAGUCUCAAUUUUUUUUUUAAAUGUGUUUCAUUAUAAAAGUACAUAGAAGAAGUCUGAUAGGGCCCUCUGGAGUUGCCAAAACCUUGAGCACUCUUCACAAUCAUUUAUAUUGGUCAAAUAUGAGGAGAGAUGUGAGAAAGAUUUGUAGCUGAUGGGUCUCUCGUAAGCAGGCUAAGGCUAAUGCCAAGGCACGCCUCAUGGUAUUGACACACUCUUUUGCUGAUUUCUAAGGAACGUUGGACUGAAUCAAUUGACUUUAUGUUACAACUUCCAAGAACUAAAAAAGAUAGGUAUCGUGUCUUUGUGGCUUUAGAUAGGUUCUCAAAAAUAGUUCAUUUAACUCCUUGUCAUAAGACUGAUAAUGCAUUUUUGAUUACCUAGUUGUUAUUUAGACAGGUUGUUUGUUUCCAACUUUCCAUGGAAUGCAGACCAUCAUUUCUAAUAGAUUUACCAAAUUCUUAUGUCAUUUCUGGAAGACAUUGUGAUCUAAGUUAAGAACAAAACAUUUUUUAUUCAAAUGUCAUCCAUAAGCUGAUACAAACUGAUGUUGUAAAUCGGAUAUUGUCAACACUUUUCCAUACAUUAAUUAAAUGUAAUGCACUCUUGUUACUUGUGGUCGUAGACGAACGUAAAAGAAACUGAGAUCACAACAAGGAAACUUAUAACUGCAAUCCACACCAACAUUUUUAAUGUAUUUAUUUUUUGUCUAGAAAAUAAUAAAACAUCCUGUCAACAAUAUUAUGCAAUUUUAAGAAAACAUAAAAUAGCAAACCUACACAUGAUGAAAACGAUAAUUAUGUUUUAAAUUUGAUAUUAGCUAUUUAAAUCUGUAAUAUCUAAUUAAAAUAUGGAUAAAAAUUAUGUCUUAUCAUAAUUUUAAAGAAGUGUAAUUUUCAAAAUUUAAAAUAUAAAUAGAGUAUUUUUAAAAAAUUUCCCUAAAUAAAAUAAUACUAAUAUACUUUGAAAAAUAUAUCUAUCUUAUUAAAACUCAAGUACAAAAUUGGAGUGUUUGGAGACUUGAAUAGGACUUUUAAAAAUUUGGAGUGUUUGGAAACAUGGAUUGCAGUCUUUUAAAAAAAAAUAUUUUUGUUUGGAAACAAGGAUAGUAGUAUUAAGAAAAAAAGUAAUGGGCUUAUGUUUUUUUAAAAAAUUGAAAGUUAUCUAGGCCACUUUUAAAAUAUACCAAAAUGGGUCAAUCUAAUUCCCUAAAAAAAUUUUUUCUAAACUAACCAUAAAACAAAAUUUAAACUUUAUAUACAUAUUUCAAAUCAAAAUAAUAAUUCAAAUUUGAUUUAUAUCAAAAAUUGAUUCAAAAAUAUACAUAUAUUCAAAAAUGGAUUUUUACUAAACUAUUUUUCAAUAACCAUUAUAAAAAAAUAUUGUCAAUAUAUAUAAGAAAAAUAUAAUACAAAGCCCAAUUUGAAAUACCAACUCAAAUUAUGGUUUUCAUAUUUCAUAUUAAGUUUUAAAAAUAUAAUAUAUGUAAUUAUUUAUAUGAUGGUAUGUAUAAAAUACUAUUAAUUAUAUGAUUACUUAUAUGAUGGUACAUAUAAAAUACGAUUAAUUAUAUGAUGAUAAAAUACGAUAUAUAAUAAUGACUAGGGAUGGGCUUUUGGAUACCCAUACGGGUUUAGUUCUGAUCGGUUUGUAUUUUGAAUUUUCGGGGUCAAAGAUUUCAGCCUUAUUAGAAUGUUUCUAAAUUUUGGUUUGAGUUCGAUUUGGAUCUUUGCGGGUUUGGUUUGGGUGAAGGAUGAAAUGAGAUUUGAGUAUUAAAAUUAAUGAUUGGUUUGUGCAGUCUACUGGAGCUUACAUGGCGGCUUCAAGAUUAGCUAUAGCCACACCCCCUCCUGCUUAUGUAUUGAGUAGAGGCAUCGGAUGGCAGGUGAAUAUAAGUAGUUUUCAUAAAUAAACACAUUAAAAUAAAUAAAUAUUCUUAUAUUUGUAUUUGCUAUGUUCUUGUCAGGGUAUUGGUGUGUUGCUAGAUGGUCUUUUCGGAACAGGCACAGGCUCUACUGUUCUAGUGUAAGUAAAGCUCACUGUUCUAUGUUCUUUUAUAUACACACACUGACACUCUCUAAUAAAUGUGUUAUUGCAGAGAGAAUGUAGGACUUCUUGGGUUAACAAGAGUAGGAAGCCGUCGCGUUGUUCAAGUAUCAGCAGGCUUCAUGAUCUUCUUCUCUAUAUUAGGUAUUACACCUUAAGUCAUACUUCUAUUGUAUUUUCUCAUGUGAUCUUGAAGUUGUGUUGUUUUUUGUCUCGAGCAGGCAAAUUCGGUGCUGUUUUUGCGUCUAUACCAGUGCCUAUCUACGCAGCAUUGCACUGUGUCCUCUUCGGCCUCGUUGGUAAGUCCAUUAAGAUUAAUAGAAAACAUGUCAUGGCUAACACUAGAACAUAAUCUUUAUCUUGAUUACAUUUCUUUGCAGCUGCGGUUGGUCUCUCGUUUCUUCAGUUCACAAACAUGAACAGCAUGAGAAACUUAACGAUCACUGGUCUUUCGCUCUUUCUUGGAAUCUCGAUACCUCAGUUCUUUGUUCAUUACUGGGACGCUAGACAUUACGGGCUAGUUCAUACAGACGCGGGAUGGUUCAACGCCUUCUUGAACACGGUGUUCAUGUCUCCAGCUACUGUUGGUCUGAUCAUUGCG